AUUUAUUUGCUUCUACAUAGAUGCACUGGAAUAUCUUUAGGAGAAUCUAUGCACUUGUUUUAACUGAGAAGAAUUUUUUUUUUUUUUUUUUUAACCCAAGCUGACUACUCAGGUCCGCCAUAGACUCAAAAUAGUGUCCAGUUGUGAAAUGAGCAGUAGAAAUGAACCAAACCUCUGGUGUCUUUUUCUGAGGAUGUAAAGCAGAGAGAGGCCUCUACUUUAUUUCCUCUCUGUUUAGAGCAUUCAGUCAAUAGUACCAGCUUCUUUGGCUCCAAGUGUGGGAUUCAGGAGGUGUCCUGAAUCAUCUGAAGUGGCAGCCCAGGGCUGUUCUGAACCAAGCUGAGAAAGUGGCACAAUGCUGUGUUGCAGGAAGUGAAAGAUGCCCCUUAGCCUCUGUGUCACUUGCUCAUGCUAGUGACACAGUCAGCAACUACAGAUACAGAGAAGACAGCCACACAGGCUUGGAAGCAGGCAUUGGCCUUUGGGACAAGGAACCCCAGUGGCCCUCACUCCCAGAGCAUGGCCUAAAAAGGUAUGUGUGUGUGUGUGUGUGUGUGUACAUGCAUGAGUAUAUACGUGAACACGUGCACAUGCAUGUGUAUACGUGUGUGUGCAUGUGUGCGUGCUGUGGUUGGGCACAUCACCAUGAGUAUGUUGGAGCAAGGAUUUUCUUUUCUCAAGC
RNAcentral lists this long non-coding RNA (682 nucleotides) under Sus scrofa (pig). Its description in RNAcentral is "lncRNA (ENSSSCG00065020034.1)". The record is from RNAcentral. Lineage: Eukaryota; Metazoa; Chordata; Mammalia; Artiodactyla; Suidae.